This 297-nucleotide long non-coding RNA is filed under the name Setaria viridis. RNAcentral describes it as "long non-coding RNA (SVIR_LNC003958)". The record is from RNAcentral. Lineage: Eukaryota; Viridiplantae; Streptophyta; Magnoliopsida; Poales; Poaceae.
CCUCAACUUUUAAAACCAUUGACCCAUCAAAUGGUUAGAGGUCAAAUAGAUUUCAUUGAUCGUUGGAAAUGAUAGUUCAGGGUUAAUUAGGCUCUUUUUUUUCUUUAAUGUAUCAAUUUUCACUCUUUUAUACUUGUUUUUUUUUUGCUUGAUAGUAGCCUAGCCCAUUAGGGAGACACCACACGAGUUUACUUCACCUCGCGCUGCUAGAAACCCACGACCACACUCAGCAUGCAUCACCACCAUUCCACCACCUCAACCAACAUAGGGGUGUUUGGAUAUACCUCCUAAAAUUUA